AUACUUAUGCGUCAGGGGAGAUACCAUGAUUAUGAAAGUGGUUCUCUCAGGGGAGGCUCAUCCACUGGACUCUGGGUGUUCUGACCCCUACGAUUUCCCCAAGUGUGGGAAAUUGAUUAUAUGAUUUGUCAUAUUCAGGGACUGCAUUCAUGCUCUCCCUGU
Marmota marmota marmota (Alpine marmot) is the source of this 162-nucleotide small nuclear RNA. Its record names the gene U1. It matches the Rfam family "U1 spliceosomal RNA". Rfam says of the family: U1 is a small nuclear RNA (snRNA) component of the spliceosome (involved in pre-mRNA splicing). Its 5' end forms complementary base pairs with the 5' splice junction, thus defining the 5' donor site of an intron. There are significant differences in sequence and secondary structure between metazoan and yeast U1 snRNAs, the latter being much longer (568 nucleotides as compared to 164 nucleotides in human). Lineage: Eukaryota; Metazoa; Chordata; Mammalia; Rodentia; Sciuridae. The record is from Ensembl.